Molecule: long non-coding RNA, 769 nt
Organism: Aptenodytes forsteri (emperor penguin)
Lineage: Eukaryota; Metazoa; Chordata; Aves; Sphenisciformes; Spheniscidae
Exons: 2
Source: RefSeq, a predicted model, not a curated record
CAGCCCCCAGCCAGCCCGCCCGGCGCCCGCUCUUGUUUGGUGUUGACAGGGAGCGUUUCGUCAGGUUUUGGGCGGCCUGGAGAAGGGUGCCGAGCCCCGGCAGCCGUGACCGUGCCACACCGUCCGAGGGAGGGACCGGCAAGAGCCAGCGCGGUCCAGCUGCCGAGGUGCCAGACCCGAGAUCCCGGAACGGGGGUCGAAUCGCCACGUCCGCCUUAGCCCGCUCGGCCUGGCCGCGCUUCGCUUCCCCGUCUCCCCGCUCAGAGUGAAAGCCAUGGCCUGGAGGGCGCGCGUCCGACGCCGGGACGGGCCAAGCCCGAGGUCCUGCCACCCAGGAGCUCUUCAGAGGGAGAAACUGCAGACUGGCAGGGAGCAAGGCGAGGUUCUCCCUGCCUUGCCCCGUGGAUGAUGUCCCUGUGCGGGAAGCUUGCGGUGGGGAAGAGCAUCUCCUGGCUCCCGUCGGGAGGUUUCCCCUCCCAGGUGAGAAGUGGCCGCGACUGCCCCCGGGGAGCUGGAAGGUGCUGCUUGGUGGAUGCUCUGUUUUGAAGUCUUUAAAAUUUCUGUGAUCGAUUCCCUUAGAGAAAUUGCAGAAUACUGCUGCUCGCGGGCUCGUGCGCGGUGCCGGCUGGCCGUAUCGCUGCUGCGGUGUAUCGCAGCGGUAAUCCUGGUGAGCAGCGGGACCCGUCUCUGAGCUGCCCAGUGCAGAACGCAUCAUCUCUGCCCGAGAUUAAAAGUGGCUCAGUGAAGAGCAGUGUUUAGGAUGAAUUUG